This is a long non-coding RNA of Drosophila guanche, 577 nucleotides long. RefSeq lists it as uncharacterized. The record is from RefSeq and is a predicted model, not a curated record. NCBI's taxonomy places the organism in Eukaryota, Metazoa, Arthropoda, Insecta, Diptera, Drosophilidae. The transcript has 3 exons.
AAAAACAGACAAAAAAUACAAAACAAAACAAACAAAUGCAUCGCCUCCGAGCGCUUAGUAGUUGCCUUUUCUUGUAGAAGAAACGACGUCUGCAGGCAGACCCAGACCCCGCGUCACACCAAGCAGACCUUUGAAGACUCACUUACACGUCGGCAUUUACAGACAGAACAGAACCGAAUGUUUCCGAAUGCCAGAACGGACUAGUGAGCAUUUACUCAAACACACACAGGCAAAGACUCUCUUGUGAAUUCCAUUAACGUAUACUUAUUUUUUAUGCUUAUGUACAAGUUAGUUAUACUAUAUACAUACUACUUAUAUAUACGAUAUACUUUAUGCCUACACGCUGAAAAAAACCUUCGCUCCGAUUCCAAAUAUUUAGUUUGUAAGCCAAAAAGUGAGAGACAAAGAGAGAGAAAACGAUUUCGAAUAUUUUUCCAAUCAUUCGUUGUAUUUAUGCGUAUUUUUUAGCGAAGGUUAGGAUACAAAAUGAAAUGUAAUGAAAGACAAAUGCAAUACCGACUAGACUCUAGCCCACAUACGAGAAAUGAGAACAUCAAAGUACAAUUACACUCAACAA